UACGGAGGGAGCUAGCGUUGUUCGGAAUUACUGGGCGUAAAGCGCACGUAGGCGGCGAUUUAAGUCAGAGGUGAAAGCCCGGGGCUCAACCCCGGAACUGCCUUUGAGACUGGAUUGCUUGAAUCCUGGAGAGGUGAGUGGAAUUCCGAGUGUAGAGGUGAAAUUCGUAGAUAUUCGGAAGAACACCAGUGGCGAAGGCGGCUCACUGGGCAGGUAUUGACGCUGAGGUGCGAAAGCGUGGGGAGCAAACAGGGAUUAGAUACCCUGGUAGUCCACGCCGUAAACGAUGAUAACUAGCUGCCGGGGCACAUGGUGCUUCGGUGGCGCAGCUAACGCAUUAAGUUAUCCGCCUGGGGAGUACGGUCGCAAGAUUAAAACUCA
This 381-nucleotide ribosomal RNA is filed under the name uncultured bacterium. RNAcentral's name for it is "bacterial SSU rRNA". It matches the Rfam family "Bacterial small subunit ribosomal RNA", at positions 524 to 903 of the family's 1533-position model. The record is from RNAcentral.